RNAcentral lists this ribosomal RNA (220 nucleotides) under uncultured Streptococcus sp. Its description in RNAcentral is "partial 16S ribosomal RNA". It matches the Rfam family "Bacterial small subunit ribosomal RNA", at positions 1163 to 1382 of the family's 1533-position model. The record is from RNAcentral. Lineage: Bacteria; Bacillati; Bacillota; Bacilli; Lactobacillales; Streptococcaceae.
AACGAGGAAGGUGGGGAUGACGUCAAAUCAUCAUGCCCCUUAUGACCUGGGCUACACACGUGCUACAAUGGUUGGUACAACGAGUUGCGAGUCGGUGACGGCGAGCUAAUCUCUUAAAGCCAAUCUCAGUUCGGAUUGUAGGCUGCAACUCGCCUACAUGAAGUCGGAAUCGCUAGUAAUCGCGGAUCAGCACGCCGCGGUGAAUACGUUCCCGGGCCUU